Non-coding RNA from Oryctolagus cuniculus (rabbit), 8626 nucleotides. The record is from RefSeq and is a predicted model, not a curated record. NCBI's taxonomy places the organism in Eukaryota, Metazoa, Chordata, Mammalia, Lagomorpha, Leporidae.
UUCCAUGCCUAAAAUACUUUCAUGGGCUCUUCAGCCAGAUCCAAGUUCCUUAAGGGCUGAUUCUGGGGCCAGAGUGCUCUUUAGGAAUCUGCCAUUCUAUUAGUCUGCUGUGUAUCCCACUUCCUAUGCUGGAUUGUUCUCUCCCUUUUUUAUUCUAUCCGGUAGUAUUAGCAGACACUAGUCUUGUUAAUGUGAUCCCUUUGACUCUUAGACCUAUCAGUGUGAUCAAUUGUGAACUGAAAUUGAUCACUUGGACUAGUGAGAUGGCAUUGGUACAUGCCACCUUAAUUGGAUUGUAUUGGAAUCCCCUGGCACAUUUCUAACUCUUCCAUUUGGUACAAGUCCAAUUGAGCAUGCUAAAUUUUAUUUUAUUUUAUUUUUUUUUAACUUUUAUUUAAUGAAUAUACGUUUCCAAAGUACGAAUAAUGGAUUACUAUGGCUUCCCCCCCAUACCGUCCCACCCACAACCCUCCCCUUUCCCACUCCCUCUCCCCUUCCAUUCACAUCAAUCUUCUGUAUAUAAAGAGAAUUGAAAAUGAAUCUUGAUGUGAAUGGAAUGGUAGAGGGAGCAUGAAAUGGGAGGGGUGUGAGUGGGAGGGAAGCUAUGGGGGGAAGAAGCCAUUGUAAUCCAUAAACUGUACUUUGGAAAAUUAUAUUUACUAAAUAAAAGUUAAAAAAAAAGAAUUCAAAAAAAUAAAGUUUAGCAACUUCUAAAACAAACAAACAAACAAACAAACAAAAAAUCAUAGCUCAUAUCACACCCAAGAAUUCACAAUAGGGAGAAACUUCAUGAAUGCAAUGACUGUAGAAAAGCCCUUGGCAAUAAGUCACAUCUCAGAAUGCAUCAGAAAAUGCACAGGAAAUGCACUUGGAAAGCUUUUUCCCAUAAUUCAGCCCUCAUUGCACAUUAUCUAAUUCAUAUGGGGGAAAACACUUUGGAUAUAAUGCAUAUGGAAAAGCCUUUAUCCAUAAGUAACACCUCAUAAAACACCAGAAUUCACAUGGGGGAGAAAGCUUAUGAAUGGAAUUUAAUGAAUGUGAAAAAAUUUUUCUGCCAUCAAUCAAUUCACAUGAAGAGACUCCGAAAUGAGAAAACAUACAUGCAUAGAAAAGUCAUGUACCAUACGUCACACCUCAAUGGUUACCUGACAACUCACAGAAAGAAAAAAUUCUAUGACUGUAUUAUCAUGGGAAAUACCUUUAUUAUUAGGCAAACUUCCACAAAACAUAGCAAGAUUACAGAGAGAAGUCCCUGAAAUAUAAUUUGUGUGGAAGAAUUCUUUGGUGGAAUCACACCUUAGUGAGUAUUGGGCAGUUUUCAUGAUGAAUUGUGACAAAGAGUGGUUAACCGUUCUUCAGAAAUUUUUCUCUUAUUCAACCUGAACUUUUGGUUUCUCAUUAUUGUAAGUGGGAUCAAGUGUAUGAACUGAACUGUGCUCUCUUGUGUAAAUUUUGUUAAUAAAUAUUUAAAAGUUGAGUAACAGUUAUUUCAACAGUUAUUUGGAAUACCAUCUUCAUCAAUUACAAAGUUAUUUGUUUUAUAGCUGCUUUGUUGGCCACCCAGGAUUCUUUCCCCACAUUAUUGUAGUGCAAACCAGUGAUGUGACCAUAGGCAUAUCAAGUGACACAUGUUCCAGCCAUAAUAGUGUACCCUGGCCCUGGAUAAUAAAUGUUGUGUGCAACACAAGGGAAUGAGUUUGUGGUGACUUAUAUACCCAUGAGAAAUUUCAACUAAUCUGUGUGCACAUCUGGAUUAGACUCCACUACCCAAGGUCUAUUUGAAGAUGCAAGUAGAUGUUGCCACACACAUUACCCUCAUUCUUUAAAGGGACAACCUCAAACCCUAUAAGUUGCAACAUUCAUCUGAAUUUUCCUGUAUUACUGAGUGUAUAAUACCUUUUUCAUUCAUGAUGCCACUUUUCUACGCUUUUUCAUUCUAUUCCUAAUUGCCUUGAGACAAGAACAUGGAAUGAAGUCUAUCCAGGUGGUACCCAUUGCAAUAGAGAAGCAGGAGCAUAAGUGUAGUAUUUUUUUUUAAAAAAGAUUUAUUUAUUUGAAAGAAUUACACAGAAAGAGCAGAAACAGAAUUUUCCAUGCAAUGGUUCACUCCCCAAUUGGCCACAAUAGCCAGAACUGUGCUGAUCCAAAACCAGGAGCUUCCUCCAGAUCUCCCAUGUAGGUGCAGGGAUCUAAGCACUUGGGCCUUCUACUAUUUCUCAGGCCAUAGCAGAGAGCUAGCUUGGAAGUGGAGCAACUGGGUCUCGAACCAGCACCCACAUGGGAUGCCAGCACUUCAGGUCAGGGCAUUAACCUGUUGUGACACAGUGCUGGCCCCUGUAGUACACUUUUGUAUUAAUUUAACAUAAUUUUUAUAACCUUUUUUUGUUGCAUUAUUCCCUGCUUCUGCAGGUGGCCCUGAUUUUUAUUGAAAAUGUGUGUUUUUAUUUCCAAUUUACAAAGUCCUUUCUGGAUUAAUAUAAAUCUGAUUUACAUUCAGUUUGUUCCUCAGGAUACCCUCAGGAGGAACACUUUUCCUAGGUUGCUUGGCUAUCCCAUGAUAACAGGGCUACAAAUGCUAUGAUGCAUCUAGCUUCAGUAGCUCUUUUAUUUCCCAUCUAGAUAAUAGCUGUGCAACUAAUCCAUUCCACCUCCAUUACUACCCAUGAGAAAUAGCUCUUCAUCCCUGUUUAAGUCCCCACAGCUUCUUACAAAUGUUCAUCAAAUUAAAUCUUACUAUAAACAGAUUUAAUAGAAAAUGAAUGAUGUAGCUGCUGGUAGUUUCAGUGAGGUUGAAUGAUUUGCUGGACUACUGUUUUGUCUGGGUUAUCUUUCAUAUUACUUAGAACUAAUUUUUCACAAUAUUACUUGCCUGAGCACUUUUUCCUAGGCUCCCAGCUAAACAGGUAUUUGAAGACUAGAUUUACUGUUAAUUCUCACUAAGGACAGAGGUCCCACAUUGAGAGCACAGAUCCUUAAGUGGUCCUUGGGACAUAGUGAAUGAAUAUUAUACCCACUUGAUUUAGUACUCAGGCACUGGUCUCCAUUGAAGAGAAGAACUCAGCUGAACAGAAUAUAACUCCCUUCCAAUUAAAAAAAGAUUUACCAUGCCAAACCUGGGUGUGUCACCUUAGGCAUACCCUUUAUCCUUGAAAACUGAACAGAGCUCUCUGGCCACACCCACUACAAGUCUCUAGAGAUUUGGUGAAAGCAGAAAGUCCAUUUAUCUACAGUCAUAAUACAAUGAUAAAAAUUGCCAGAAAAAAAAAAAGUAUUUCCACAAAUGCCAAAUGCAAGAAUCCAAGAAGGAAGAAUAAGGAAAACAUCAUCAUGCUCCCAAAAGAACAUGACAGUUCAAUACUAGGUCAUGAAGAUGAUGAGAGACGAAAUGCAAGAAAUAGAACUCAAAAAUUUGGUCAUAAGAUUACAUAGAAGUAAUCAAGAGCAAAUGCACAAACUACUGAAAUCCAUGAAGGACAUGAAAGAAAAUCUCUCCCAUGAAGUAAAAAUUAUCAGGAGGAAUCAAGAUGAAAUGAAGAAUUCAACAGAACAUGAAACUGAGAUAUUAAAAAGAAAUCAAAAUGAAAUGAAGAAUUCAAUAUAAUAAAAAAUGCAGUGGAGAGCCUUAGAAAUAGAAUCAGUGAGGCAGAAGAGAGAAUACCAGACUUAGUAGACAAAGUACAGGAAAGUAUACAGUCAAACCAAACACAAGAAAAGGAGAUUAGAAAUCUAAAAAAGACUGUUGGGAUAUACAGGAUACUAUAUAUAUAUAUAUAUAUAUAUAUAUAUAUAUAUAUAUAUAAAGACUCUCCAUGUGGGUCCACCAUGUCCCUCUCAUGUCAGUAGAAUUUCCUCUGUCAUUUUUUCCCUAACUCUUCCCUGAGACUACUCUAUUUCCACUUUUUUAAAACUAUCUUCUCCUGGGCUAGAGCAGUAAGCUCCCUCCCAACUCUACCAUCCAAUUAUUAGCCCAUCUCUAUAUGAUUAUGACUCUGUUUCUGCCAAAUUACUAAUUUAUACACCAUAUAAUCAAAAUUAAAUGCCUUCCAUGGAAUGCAUAUUUAUUUUGUCAUUUACUACUAUCACCUGCAUGUGUAAUGAAUAACCUGAUUUGUGACAUUCCUAACACAGGGAAAUGAUGGGUACCAUGGUUUGAUUUAUAAUUGUGUGGUCAUCAACUCACUCUAAAUGCUGGAAGUUGUCCCAGCAAUUGUCAUGUGUAUAGGAUUUGAGUACAUUACAGUGCCAGCACCAUCAUGGUCAUCAGCAUAGGAUACAUUCUUAAUGUUUCUAGAUGCUCCUGGAACUGUAAAUUAUUUUCUGAUUGUGGAAAUUUUCCAAACUGCAAGUCUGUAUCAUACUGUAAUUUUUCCAGUUUAUUCCGGACUGUUUUUUCACCAAAUAUUCAUCCGCAUAUUUAUUUUUUAAUUAUGGCUCACAUUAAAAGACACAUUGUUACUAAGGGCAAGGCAAAGUUUUAACUUCCAUGUGCAUCAGGUUUCUAUUUUUUAUUUUGUCUUUCAUUUUAUUAAUUUCAUCUGAGUAUGUCAAUAUCCACAUGGAAAGCAAUCUUAGCACUGCCAAGGUAUGAUUCUUUUGGGCACUUAUAUUUUCAUAUCAUGAAUGCACUAAAUAAUGUUCAAGUUGUCUUAGCAACCUCCAUCUUUAUGGCCUAUCAAAUAAUUUUAGAGCAUUACAUUUUUUUUUUUUUGCAUUACAUUCUUUUACACUUUCAAGGACACUUUUUUAUAGCUUCUUUAUAUUUCAAGAAUCAAAAUUGUCAUUCUCUUUAAAAUUUCCAUGCAUUGGAUCGAGACAAUUUUAUCUUGGUUUUAAAAUUACUGAAUUCAAUGGCAUAAGCUUUCUUUGAUUUAAGAGAGGACAAAUUUUCUGUAUUUAAAUGUGUAUUUAGGGCUAUUUUUAUUAAUAUCUGUUACAUCUCCUUGUAACCUUAUUCCUGCUUCUACUAUAUUUACCAUUUGUACACACAACUGUCAAUAUAUUGAAAUGAAUACAUGUCUCUAUUUUUCAUGUUUAUUCAAAUUUAUUAUUACCACCUCAAUAAAUAAUAACCUGAUUUGUGCCAAUUCUAGUGCAGGGAACUUCAGGCUACCAUUAGAGGUUGGUAGACUUGGAGACACAGAGAAACAAAGAUUAUGAGCUACAACUUGGUGGCUUAUUCUUCAUUCUUGUAAUGAUCAGAAACUGAAUUAUUACAGAAAUCUGAGCUAUUCUUUUCUGAUGACAAAUACAUUAUAAAAAUUUCAAAAUGUUGCUCUCUAUAUUACAAAUUAUAUAUAUGUACUUUAUAUUGUCAUAAACACACACUAUAUAUUAUAUAUAAACACCUUUAAAAUUCUCCUUGUCAUUGGUAUAAAUGUUUUGAAUUUUAAAUAUUUACUUUUAAAAUUUUAUUUAAUAUAAGUUUGAUAUAUUUCAUAUAUACAGACUAAUGAAUGUAAGUGACACUUUCCCCGAUACCCUCUCUCCCACACACACUCCAACCCUUUCUCCUCUUCCCUCUCACAUUCCCACUUAAUUUUACAAAAUCUGUUUUGAGUUUACUUAAUGAUUGUAUAGUUAACCCUACACUAAGUAAGAGUUCAACAAGUCAGCGAAUAGUAUGAAGAAAAAAAAUAAAUUAAAAAAAAAUCACUGUUCCUCAAUGGAAGAGACAAGGGCUGUAAACAAUCAUCAAAUCUCAAAAUGUGUAUCUAACUCCAAUACAUUACAUUUUAGGUACUCUAUUAGCUACCUCAGAUCAGGGAAAACAUAUGAUAUCUGUCUUUUGGGGACUCAUUUAUUUUACUAAGUAUAAUGGUUUCCAGUUUCAUCUAUCUUGUUGCAAAAGACAGGGUUUCUUUUUCUUUCUUUUUUUUUAAUAACUGAGUAGUAUGCCAUAGUGUGUAUAUACCAUAAUUUUUUUUAUCAAUCAACGAUUGAUAUCUGGAUUGUUCCCAGAUCUCAGCUAUUGUGAAUUGUGCUGCAAUGAACAUAGGGUUAUAGAUAACUCUUGCAUAUGCUAAUUUCUUUUGGUUUGGGUAAAUUCCAAGGAGUGGGAUUGCUGGAUCAAAUGGUAGGUCUAUAAUCAAAUUUGUAAGAUAUCUCCAUACGGUCUUCCAUGGUGGCUUGCACCAGUUUACUUACAUUCCAACCAACAGUGGACCAGGGUAACUUUUUUCCACAUCCUCAGCAGUUUUGUCAUUUGUUGAUUUCUUUCUUUCUUUCUUUCUUUCUUUCUUUCUUUCUUUCUUUCUUUCUUUCUUUCUUUCUUUCUUUCUUUCUUUCUUUCUUUCUUUCUUUCUUUCUUUCUUUCUUUCUUUCUUUCUUUUUUUGACAGGCAGAGUUAGGCAGUGAAAGAGAGAGAGACAGAAAGUCUUCCUUCCAUUGGUUCACCCCCAACAAAUGGCCACUACGGCUGGCGCUGAUCUGAAACCAGGAGCCAGGUGCUUCCUCCUGGUCUCCCAUGCAGGUGCUAUUCUUUCUUCCCUAUUUCUGACCCUUAAAACUGUUCCAAAUUAUGGGAUUUGAUUCAAUGCACCAGGUCUUAAAUUUAAGGUUUUAUUUCUGACUUUCGAACAACCAAAGAGACAGAUUUUGUGUUAAAGUAAUCUAUUAUGUUCUCUUAAUGCCUCUUAAGUUCUAAUUGUUUAAAACAACUGAGUUUUAAAUGAGUUAUGAUUUGAUCAAAUCUGGUCUAUACUUUGUUAUGAUGUUAAGGGAUCUUAUUUCAACCAGAUAUUUUAAGCCUUCUUGUCAUCUUUUACAGGCAUUCAAAAAAAAUCAAAGUUCCAAAGAAUUUGGACUUUGAUAUUUCCAGUUGGGUUCCUGGAAAUGUCAAAGGAUAUAUGUCUCUCAUCUUGGAGAGGCACCAACUAAUCAAUCAGGCUAUUUGGGUUAUAUUACAGGUACUGUUAAAAUGUGAAGUCAUGCUAAAUUUUAAGUUUUGAUAAUAUAAAAUGCCACUGAUACAAAUGUCUGAAAGUUAAAAAGUCUAAUGAUCUUGUGUUACUAGACAUAAUGGUUAUCUUAAUGAGAAAGGCCCAGAGGCCUAAAAGAAUUAAAUGUUUUGUAAAAUCCUACAGGUGAUUUUGAAAAUACUGUGUAAAGUAAGCAAAUGCCUCUUGUUGGUUAAUGAGUUUAUCAUUUUGAACAUAGCUAUUUAAAGUCUUUUCUCAUCCACAGUUUUGUAUAUCAGAUUUGGCUGCUCUAAACUAAAACAUUGUUGGUUCUGUGUUUAGCUGCCCUCCUAUAGGUUCUGAUGGAUUUUUCCCAGCCACUUCUAUUGAAUUCAGUAAUUUUGAAUUGUUCUGUAAACAGAUGAAGUGAAUAAUGCACUACAGGUUCCUGUCGCUCCCCCUCUUCGUUGAGGAAUGACACAGGACCCUGCGUUGUUCUUUCGUCUGCUCGGCCCUCCCCAGGUUUGCUGCUGGUUCUUCCUGGGUUGGCUACCGUCCCUUCCACCUCUGUGGAAGGGCGAUUCCCCCUGCCACUUUCCCCACUUCCGCGGGGGAGCGGCACACCGCCAGCCGGCUCUCUCGGGGGCUGCUCAGGUGUUCCUUCAGAUAGAUGUUCCCCUUAGAUGUUCCUGGUGCAUGUUGUCUCUCUCCUCCUUUAUAGUCCUCUUCCACCAAUCCCAACUCUGCUACCCACACGCCGAGUACGCUGCUCUCCUCCAAUCAGGAGCAGGUCCUGCUGCUUAUUGGUUGAACUGGAGGCAGCUGUGUAGAAGCUAUUUUUACUCCUCUCCCAGGGCCAUAUUGUGGGAGAGCAGAUGCAUAGAAUAAGUCUUAAUUCCAGUAACUUAGUCUAGUCCGAGUUGCUCCCCACAGCUCCCCACAUAGGAUCUCUGUCCUUAAUGUGUUUUACUAUGGAACUUAAAGACAACACUACUAGUCGAACAAUACCCUAUACCUUGUGCGGUUGUGUGAGUGCAGCCUAUUGAAAUCCUUGCUUAGCAUAUACUAAGUUGAUCUUCUGUAUAUGAAGGUAAUUGAAAAUGAAACUUGAUGAAGGGUGGGAUGGGAGAGGGAGUGGGAGAGGGGAGGGCCACGGGAGGGAGGGAGGUUGGCGGGGGAAGCCACAACAAUACAAAAGUUGCACUUUGUAAAUUCACAUUUAUUAAAUUAAAAAUAAAGAAAACAGAACUCUUAAGAAUCAUUACUUUGUGAAGAAAUGACUAAUCUGGUAAGAUUAAUAAUAGAAAGACAAACAAUUGUAAAGGCAGUUGCUAAAAAUAAAUCAAAAUUAUAUUUAAAAUGGGAAAAUAGGGCCGGCGCCGCGGCUCACUAGGCUAAUCCUCCGCCUAGCGGCGCCGGCACACCGGGUUCUAGUCCCGGUCGGGGCGCCGGAUUCUGUCCCGGUUGCCCCUCUUCCAGGCCAGCCCUCUGCUGUGGCCCGGGAGUGCAGUGGAGGAUGGCCCAGGUGCUUGGGCCCUGCACCCCAUGGGAGACCAGGAAAAGCACCUGGCUCCUGGCUCCUGCCAUCGGAUCAGCGCGGUGCGCCGGCCGCAGCGCGCCGGCCGCGGCGGCCAUUGGAGGGUGAACCAACGGCAAAAGGAAGACCUUUCUCUCUGUCUCUCUCUCUCACUGUCCACUCUGCCUGUCAAAAAAAAAAUAAAUAAAUAAAA